UACGUAGGGAGCAAGCGUUGUCCGGAAUCAUUGGGCGUACAGCGCGCGUAGGUGGCCACAUAAGUCCGUUGUGAAAGUCAAAGGCUCAACCUUUGAAAGCCGAUGGAUACUGUGUGGCUAGAGUACGGAAGAGGCGAGUGGAAUUCCUGGUGUAGCGGUGGAAUGCGCAGAUAUCAGGAGGAACACCAAUAGCGAAGGCAGCUCGCUGGGACGUUACUGACACUGAGGCGCGAAAGCGUGGGGAGCGAACAGG
Molecule: ribosomal RNA, 253 nt
Filed under: uncultured bacterium
Lineage: Bacteria
Description: partial 16S ribosomal RNA
Rfam family: Bacterial small subunit ribosomal RNA
Source: RNAcentral